UAAAAAAAGAAAACUUUAGAAAUAAAUUCGGAGAAACUAUGCAGGAAUGAGACUGAAGCUGAAUAGGCACCUGGCAGCCAAUCAAGAUCAACCCAUCACAAUGGCUUGAAACCCUAAGUCUUACUCAACUCAGUAGGAAGAGGCAGUUACCAAGAAUUCUUCUUCAAUCAGAGGCACAACAUGAUCAGGAUAAAUAUUGA
Molecule: long non-coding RNA, 200 nt
Filed under: Coturnix japonica (Japanese quail)
Lineage: Eukaryota; Metazoa; Chordata; Aves; Galliformes; Phasianidae
Description: lncRNA (ENSCJPG00005009880.1)
Source: RNAcentral